GGGGAAGUGCUGGAAUUGGCAGACAGGCAUGACUUAGGAUCAUGUGCCGCAAGGCGUAAGGGUUCAAGUCCCUUCUUCCCCA
Molecule: transfer RNA, 82 nt
Filed under: Anaerolineaceae bacterium
Lineage: Bacteria; Bacillati; Chloroflexota; Anaerolineae; Anaerolineales; Anaerolineaceae
Also listed under: 2 other names
Description: tRNA-Leu
Rfam family: tRNA
About the family: Transfer RNA (tRNA) molecules are approximately 80 nucleotides in length. Their secondary structure includes four short double-helical elements and three loops (D, anti-codon, and T loops).
Source: RNAcentral